Molecule: ribosomal RNA, 406 nt
Filed under: uncultured bacterium
Lineage: Bacteria
Description: bacterial SSU rRNA
Rfam family: Bacterial small subunit ribosomal RNA
Source: RNAcentral
AAUCAACGCUGGCGGCGUGCCUCAGACAUGCAAGUCGAACGCGAAAGGUUCCUUCGGGAACCGAGUAGAGUGGCGCACGGGUGAGUAACACGUAGGUAAUUUGCCUUUGGGUGGGGAAUAACAGCCGGAAACGGCUGCUAAUACCGCAUAAUGCAGCGGCUCGACAUCGAGACAGUUGUUAAAGCGGGGGAUCGCAAGACCUCGCGCCUAAAGAGAAGCCUGCGGCAGAUAGCUAGUUGGUAGGGUAAUGGCCUACCAAGGCGACGAUCUGUAACCGGCCUGAGAGGGCGGUCGGUCACACUGACACUGACAUACGGGUCAGACUCCUACGGGAGGCAGCAGUCGGGAAUUUUGGGCAAUGGGCGAAAGCCUGACCCAGCAACGCCGCGUGAAGGAUGAAAUCCCU